RNAcentral lists this ribosomal RNA (502 nucleotides) under uncultured bacterium. RNAcentral describes it as "partial 16S ribosomal RNA". It matches the Rfam family "Bacterial small subunit ribosomal RNA", at positions 29 to 507 of the family's 1533-position model. The record is from RNAcentral.
AGCGAACGCUGGCGGCGUGCCUAACACAUGCAAGUCGAACGUGAAAGGGAGCAAUCCCAAGUAAAGUGGCGUACGGGUGAGUAACACGUAGGUAAUCUACCCCAGAAUCUGGAAUAACCGGCCUAAAGGCUGGCUAAUACUGGAUAGAGCGACGGAAUCCGUAAUUGGGUUUUUCGGGUAAGGGAGCCUGUAAAAAGGCCUUCGUUCUGGGAUGAGCCUGCGUCCCAUCAGCUAGUUGGUGAGGUAAAGGCUUACCAAGGCAAUGACGGGUAGCUGGUCGGAGAGGACGAUCAGCCACACUGGAACUGAAACACGGGCCAGACGCCUACGGGAGGGAGCAGUGGGGAAUCUUGCGCGAUGGACGAAAGUCUGACGGAGCGACGCGGCGUGGGUGAAGAAGGCCUUCGGGUUGUAAAGCUCUGUCGAGUGGGACGAAAAUGCUUGGAGUUCAGAGCUUCAGGAACUGACGGUACCACUAAAGGAAGCACGGGCUAACUCCGUG